This is a long non-coding RNA of Pipra filicauda (Wire-tailed manakin), 6827 nucleotides long. RefSeq lists it as uncharacterized. Lineage: Eukaryota; Metazoa; Chordata; Aves; Passeriformes; Pipridae. The transcript is spliced from 3 exons. The record is from RefSeq and is a predicted model, not a curated record.
UAUAUUUUUGGGAUUUCCAGUUUACCCCGUGCUGCUCCUUUACUACAGCAGACAGAAACUGGAGUUUCCGAACUGGUAUUGUUGGACAGGGCAGUUCAUAUUUUCCAGUUUGUAGUCUAAGCUGUCCCUUGAGUCUUGAGACAAUUGACUUUAAAAGGCCUUUUAACUGCAGAAGUCUAAAUGGGAGUAGAAAAUAAGUUUGCAGUUCUGUUCAGCAAAGUCCCCAUAUAAACAUCAGUCAGUCCUCAACCUGACAAGAAAAGGCUUUUGCUGUGUGGACAGUUUUCUGCAGCAUUAGUCCAAUGUUCACCUCAGGGGUUAGCAGAUGGCUCUGGGGCGACAUGAAAGUAGUAAAGGGAGAGAAAAACAAGUUUUUGUCACUUCCUGAUAGUUUGCCAGAGUCCAUCCUGGUCUUCAUAUCUGUGUGGGGAGUGCUGGGGUAGAAAAUUCAAUCCACGGACUUCUCUACCUGUUUCCUAUCUCUGUCCAUGUGAUAUUUUACAGAGGAAGAAUUCAAUUGAGUUUGAGAUCUUGUAGAAAAGGAAAAAAUUCAGAUAAGGUGCUACUUAAAUCUUUUGUUUCAGCAUUUAGUGAGACUUAGAUAUUUCCAAAAUAAAACAAAAAAUUAAAAAAAAAAAUCACUGAGUUCUUGUUUUCCAGUGACUUCAGGCCUGUGGUGUUUGAUCUGUUCUGUUCUGGCUCCAUUGUUACCCAUGGAGAAAACAGUAGUUGACAGCUUAAAAAACUUAGCUUGUUGGAGUUUUUUUUCCUUUCAGUGAAGUUCCUUUUGUGCUUUGUCAUUAAGCAGCAUGGGGCAAUUUUUUGUGGUUUAGAUUUUGCUGCAGGGGCUAUAGAAACGGGUGGGGAUAGGAAUGUGUGGAUUAAGAAUUUCGCCCUGGAAAAAGCUUCUCAGUGGCACAGAACUGGAAGAUACUAGGAAGAUAUAGCAGGAUGAUGUGCUCCCUUAGGGAGAUGGUAUGCUGGAGGCACGGCUUAGAACAGCUCCAGUCCAGCUGGGCAGCAAGCUCCCUCUCUGACUCCAGUGCUGUCCCUGGCUUUUAGGCAUCCUCCCUUCUCUGCUUUGUGUGUGGCUGCACUGCUGAGGGAAUGUAGCCUUGUAUUUCCCUGCAGCAGGCUGUGGAUGGCACACAAAGGAGUGUUUGAGAGCUUCACCAGGUGUGUGUAUUGUUUCCAGAUACGCUCUGGAAAGGCUUAACAGCUGGGCCUGUUCCCACCUCCUUCCUGGCUGAGAUGAUUGGAUGCUAACUCAAAUACUUGCAAGCACACACUUACCAGGUGCUGGCCUCCAGCUAUCAUCUGCCCUCAUGCAGUAAUAAGAUGGUAGCAUAAAAAAUUUCAAGCAGUAAACACAUGUGGAGGGAGACAUUUUGCACAGCAGUAGGCAAGCAUGUCCCAAACAGAACUCCAGUAAAAAGUGAGACAGAAACCAGCAGUGCCUUCCCUUUUCACAACAGUUGGUAUUGUGUUUGUUGUGAUUAGGAUCACCUAAAAAAACUUUUCAGCAUGUUUUCCUGUACAGCUGUUCAUAUCUGCCCCAGCAAGAGGGACUUAACACAUUUGGAAAAAUCAAUAGACUUCAGCUGCAGGGGGAAGGGGCAUGGGCUGGCUUUUGCACUGAGCCCUUUAGAGACCUUAUUUAUCUAGUGGCAUGAGAUGUGCAAGAGGAAAAUAACUGUUACAUGAUUCUUGUGCCUUGCCAGAGUCCAAAGCAGGAAAUGCCGUAAUUACAGCGGUUCUGUGUAGUUGCCUGGAUUAGAAAGGUAACUCUUAAACCAUGGUAGAUGUUUUUGAACUUGUUGAAAGCGGUUUCCGGCAUGCAGUUUGAUGUGAUUGUUGCUCUCCCUUCAGGGCAGGAGGACAAAAAUGUGAACAUUUUUUGUUCAUAUAGUUAGUUGUUAUCGCUAUGAGUUGUGGUAUAAAUAGGAAAAUUAAGAUUAUGUGUAACUAUAAUACUGAACUGGGCUGACAGGAACUUAUGUUCUAUAGACUAAAAUGUCGCUAAAAAGGGGAUAUUCUUUACUUUGCAACAUGUGGUGAAAUCCAGGACCUGUUUAUUCUUUGGAGGCAAUUUAAAAGCAAAAAAAAUCCCCCAAAUGCAGGUGUUCCAUUACUGCUAGUAGAGCUUUAAAGAUACUUUAUUACUUGGAGCAUUCCAUGCAGAAAAUUAGUUUUCUAGCUCACUUGGGAGGCAGGAGCUCUGCUGUUUGCCUUCCUUUGGCACAUACUGUAUUCUUGACCAUGCUUAUUUGAAUCUUGGGGCUGACAGCAAAGAUGUCCUCCUAUCUACUGACUUGGUUAAAAUAUUGACUGAACUUUGUGUCCUGUUUCCAACAGUAGCUCAUGACAGAUGAUUAGGAAACAGCUUAAGAAUUGGAAGAUCUGUAGUGUAAUCCUUGCACUGGGACACCUUGUUAACUUCUGGCAGAAGUACCUAGACCAUCAUAUAUAAUAGCUCCUGAUUGAUCUGUCUCCAUUAAUUUGGUGAGUCCCUUUAUGAAUGAAUUUAUAGUAUUGUUCUUCAAAGUUGUCAUGGCAGUUGAAUUUCCAGCACAGCGAUGCCUUGUGAGGAGGCAGUUCCGCCUGUGUCAUCCUCUGUAGCACCUUCCCACAAACAAACCUGUCUUGGAUUGAACCUCCCCUUUCAAUUCAGUCUGGUGUCAGACAUGUCAAAACUACCACUUAACAGAGGAGGUGGAGAUACUUGUCUUUGCUUUAGGUUUUGGGUUUUUUUAAAAAACCUAUGCUCUCUACCAAUCCCAUUUACGGUUUAGCUUGCAUAUUUUGUUGGGUUUUCAGUUGUUGAAUACUGGAAACCUGGUUAACAACUUCAUUUCUUCCACCUAGGGCAAUGCAAACAGCGCAGUUACAGUAUGUAAAUAAAAGUAUUGCAAUUUAGCAGACUAUGUUGUAGAAAGGAUGGAAUUACAGAAGCAGAAAAUCUGUUUUUCAAAUUAAAAAAAGAAAGGGGCAACUCCUGAUAAUUAGUACAACUUUUCCAAAGUAGUUCUGUCUGCCUUUCUCCAAGUCUACCUCACCUUAUAAAGCAGACCAGGGGUGUUUCAAAUGCAAGCUUUAUUUUUUGACCCUAGUAAUAGUUAGAUCAUUAAGCCCAGAUGUCACUUGGCAAAACUAUCUGUAGGUACUGUGGGCUUUUCACUUUGCUGCUGCUGUAAAUCCUCUUUCAUUUAAAAGUAAGCAAAUACAAAUGGUGUAUAUUUGUAGGGGAACCCUCUCUCCUGUACUCCAUCCUCUUGUGUUAACUAUUUUAAAGCAGCUCCAUGGGUUCCCAAUUACUUUAGGAACCUUGUGCUCUAAUAAAUGAAACAGCCAUAAACAAAGCCAGCUUAAUCUCGUCACGUCAGGCAUUUUGCCAUGGGAAGUCAUCGUUAGCUGGCUCAACUCUGUCAAAUUGAAGAGGUACUGAGAGAGAGAGAGAUGACCCAUCAUGUAAACUCAUCUUUCUCUGUCGUGGUGAGAGAGCUUUAUACAUUGCCCUCUCUCUGGGCUCUGCAGACCAGGAACCACACUAACUCGACCAGCAGGACCCUGUUUGCAACUCUGCAGUAUGAGGUGUAUUUCCAUGGAGCAACAUCUCCUUGGGUGAGUACGUGCCUGUGUCUUCAGGUUGCCUCCUUCCAGAGUUCAGACUCCUUCCUCCAUAAAAAAAUGCUUCACAGGCUUUUGAGGUAGCUACAGUAGCUUGCUCUUUUAAAGCUGACCUUCAAAGGAAUAAAUGCUGUCAGCAUGUUUGAGGAGGUCCUGAUUACUUUUUCUUUCUUUUCUGCUUGUUCUUUAUGUCACUGAUUAAGAUCUUGUCUAUCCUGGAUGACAGAGUGGCAGAUCUGGAAAUGUAACAGAAAUGUGAAUUCACAAGAGCAAAACUUGGAUCUGCUUGAGGGUAAAGUUUCUGGAGAGACCUGUAAUGCAGCGGUAAACUCUGCGCACAAGAUUCAAAAGCUGAAUGUGAAAACUGGAUGCUGGUGGUUGUUGCUGAGUCAUGCUGACAGCUCAGCCUGGUUAGCUUUAAUGAAGGUUCAAAGUGGAACAGGGCAUCUUCUUGAGUAAUGAGGUAAGACCGAAGAAGUCCUGCAGGCAGUACCCGUGCUCAGUCUGAUUCCUGCUGAACUUGCUGUGCCUCUGAGCUGACAGUAAGGGAAAGAAUUUGGCUUCUGAUUCUCGGGUUUCUGGUGCUGUAAUUAGGGCUUUGGCUUUUUGGCUCUCUGCAGAGCAGCAUCUUAAAGCAAUCUGAACAGUUCCUUUGCUGUCAGAUAUCACUGGGGUGUAAACAAAUUUUCAUUGACUUCAACGAUGGUGCCCAAAGUUUUACUUUUUAAUUUUUCUUAAAUGUGAUUAGGCACUCUUGCAGUGAAGGCUACCAUUGCUGCCAAGGGAUUCUGGGAACACAUAUAAAAUACAAUUUACAUGUGAGUAAACUACGAAUGGAUGAACUUUCUUUUGAUAACCAGUUAGGUUAGAACUCAAUCGUGCCCUGGAAAGCCAGUGGAAAAGGGACAUGGAACCUCAAGGCAAAAGUAUUUUCUCCCUAAAUCAAUCCUUUGUGGUAUCUGUCACAGGAUGUCCUUUUGCAAAUGUGUGUCCGCCAUAGAAAAUGGCUUAAUGAAAAAGUUGUAUAGCAACAGAUGUUGUUUGUCUUCAGGUGGGUUUACUCAAGGUGCAAAGGAUGUGCUUCCUGUUUUCUGACUUUGUGGGCACGUAUUUGGCUGGGGAAAAAAGAUGCCAUUAGUGUGUGGUAGUUCAUACCCUACCAAGGAUAGAGCUGUUUGCCCUUUCGGUAUGAAUCACCCUGGACUAAGCACUGCAUGAUGCCAAUCAGUUGUUUCAUCCUGUUAGUUCUUGUGAAAAAUAAAGUUUCUUGCUCUCUCACCUGCCUUGCAUUAGUAAUCUGGCCUUGCACAUAAACUAAGAUCACUCCUUUUCUCACGACCAAACAAAGCCCACUUUGAAAGUGCGCAUGACUCCUGCUAGCUCUGACAGCUCUGGUCUGCAGCCCCUGUCAGUUAUUAUUUUGUGAAAGUUCAGGUUUCAAACUCACCUGUCUGCCUGACACUACAAGGUUUCCCUUUGGAUAUAUUCAUUGGAUGUGACUUUAGCUUUAUUUACCACUAGGCUUGUUUUACUGUUCCAAGUAAGGGCUAGCCGCUUCCUAGAGCAGAACGUGUGGUAUUUGUCAGAAGGAGACUGCUUUAAGGCUUCCAGAUAACCUGACCAGCCUGCUCCUCUGUAAACAAUUUUGUGGGCCCUGCUGAUAAGGAUAAAGCAACUGCACUGAAGAUGAUUAGAAGAUGCUGAUAUCUGUAGGGGAGCAGACUAGUACUGCUCUGGCAUAUGACUACCCUUGAAGAAAAGCACUUACAAACUUAUGAACAUUUAUAACAUCUUGUUACUGGUGAUGGCACUGAUCUGCAGUUUUUCUGCUGUCAGUGUAUGCCAUCAAGCCCCAGAUGCUUGUUAUUUUGUUCUGAUCAGAAUCCCUGCAUUGGUUUGCAGGCCCACAAGAAACUCUCUGUGGCUCUUUGCAACAAACUAAAUGAUGAACAAACUCCCUCCAGACCAGUCUGGGUGAUGUUUAUCAAAGGGUUACUCAUAUAGAUCUUGCCUGUACUGGAAAAGGUAUUAUACCCCUAGAAUGAGGCAGCUGGAUCCAUGGAGCUGCUGGUUCCCCUAACUGUUCAAUCUUUAUCUGAAAUUGAUUUUAAGCCUUGCAGGAUUUAUAUAAGAUUUUGCAGUUAGGGAUUACGUAGACCUAUGAGGUCAUGCCAGUGACAUUUUGCUUGUUAAAAAUUGUGUUGUAGAUUAGAUUCUAAGGGACUCAAGUAUUUUAAAACUGUCAUUCAACCUUUACAGGUGGACCAAAUUUAUCUGGUGGCCAUGUAUAAUGAAAACCCUGAGAAGAAGAGUGGAGAUCUGUUUUCUCGUUAUAAUGGCAGCAACAGAGAAGUGAUGGCUUUAGGUUAAACCUGUCAGGUUUCACCACUGCAGGCAGGGUAAGGAGAGCAACACCUUCAUCCUUCCAGCAAACCGGCAAAUAGAAAAGCGAAGACUACAAAGCAGAAGAGGCUGAAAGGAGAAUCUGGGGUCUAAGGAGAAGAUGGCUCAAACAGAAGCACUGCGUAUCCUGCAAAUACUUGCUGUGUUGAAGCAUGGGAAGCCAUAAAAGCAGUCUGAAAAUCUGAGUAUUUACCAUCUGCAGAAAGAGAGAAGGGGAACCAGAGAGCAGGUAUUAGCUUUUUUUCCUCUGGUUCUAUUGCCAGAGGGCCAAGACAGGUAAUGGUUGCAGCUGUCUCCAGGAUAUGUGGGCAAACCUAUCAGAAUCCUUGCAUUGCUUUCAUUUCAGUGCAACUCUGCUCCUUACACCAAAUUCUUUUAGAAGAUCUAUAGACUGCUACUGCCUGCCCUUGCCUUUCCCUGUGUAAUUUUUGCAGGAGAAAUGGAUCAAUUUUGCUUGAUGUCUGCUGCUUUUAAAUCAGCUUCAACUGAUGUGAGACUCAAGUGGUGGCAGCUGGGAGACUGCUUAGCUUCAAGCAUGGCUGGAGUUGUUCUGUGACCCGAAGAAGAUGGCAGAAUGCCAUGCAUUAAGGGUGAUGGAAAAUAGCUGGUGGCAGUGGGGGACAGAAGAUGUCUGGAGGAGGUGGCUCAGGCUUUUGUCACAGUGUGAAGAGAGAUGUGACCUGCAGCAAGCUCUGUCCAUUGCCAGAGGCAUGGUGCUAUGUCCAUCCUGGAUGAGUUUUCCUGGCCUAUCUUCCCAGCUACCAGAAUGGCUGUACUGGAGAGGUGAAGACUGCACU